RNAcentral lists this ribosomal RNA (895 nucleotides) under Pratylenchus penetrans. Its description in RNAcentral is "SSU rRNA". It matches the Rfam family "Eukaryotic small subunit ribosomal RNA", at positions 30 to 926 of the family's 1831-position model. The record is from RNAcentral. Lineage: Eukaryota; Metazoa; Nematoda; Chromadorea; Rhabditida; Pratylenchidae.
GCUUGUCUCAAAGAUUAAGCCAUGCAUGUAUAAGUAUAAACGCUUUAAGCGUGAAACCGCGAACGGCUCAUUACAACAGCUAUAAUUUACUUGAUCUUGACAAACUUACAUGGAUAACUGAGGUAAUUCUUGAGCUAAUACAUGCACCAAAGCUUUGACCGUAAGGGAAGAGCGCAUUUAUUAGAACAAAACCAAACGGCUUCGGCUGUUCCCAGUUGAAUCAGAAUAACUCAGCUGAUCGUACGGUCUUGCACCGACGACGUGUCUUUCAAGUAUCUGCUUUAUCAACUUUCGAUGGUAGGGUAUCUGCCUACCAUGGUGGUGACGGAUAACGGAGGAUCAGGGUUCGACUCCGGAGAAGGGGCCUGAGAAAUGGCCACUACGUCUAAGGAUGGCAGCAGGCGCGCAAAUUACCCACUCUCAGAAUUUGGAGGAGGUAGUGACGAGAAAUAACGAGGUUGAUCUCUUCUGAGGCCAACCAUCGGAAUGGGUACAAUUUAAACCCUUUAACGAGUAUCUAUGAGAGGGCAAGUCUGGUGCCAGCAGCCGCGGUAAUUCCAGCUCUCAAAAUGCAUAGAAUUAUUGCUGCGGUUAAAAAGCUCGUAGUUGGAUCUGCAGCCGGAGCUCCGGUCCAUCUUCGGAUGUGUACUGGAUGUCUUCGGCUUUCUGACAGUGUUCGGCUCUGUGCCUCUAACCAGGUGUGGAUGUCCGAUACUGUAGGUUUACUUUGAAUAAAUCAGAGUGCUCUAAACAGGCGUUUUGCUUGAAUGAUUGUGCAUGGAAUAAUAGAAGAGGAUAUCGGUUCUAUUUUAUUGGUUUUAUAGACUGAGAUAAUGGUUAACAGAGACAAACGGGGGCAUUUGUAUGGCUACGUGAGAGGUGAAAUUCUUGGACC